UGCUGCAGCCUGGAGGAGGGAGGGGAAUGGCUCUGCUCAGCGUUCUCUCAGCCUGCUCCUCACCACCUGUCCUUGACUUACUGUGUACAGACAGGACACAGAGGAAGCUGUGCUGCUGGAGGCUUUGUGUCUGUGUGUGUUUCAUAAAGAAUUCUUCUCCCAGUGGCUAUCCAUCUUCUACCUGUGGUGCUACAGUGGAGUGCAACUGAAAGGAAGGAACGACCACCCUUGGCUGCUUGGGCUCAGAUGGGAGGCAGCGCUGACUCUGGCUGGGACUGGGGAUGCUGAACGGAGGCAGGGAAGGCCUGUUUGAGCUGGGACAGCAGCUCCAGCAGCAGGGAGAGUACCAGGCCGCCCUGCACUGCUUCCUCAGCUGCCUACUGGGACUCACUCAUGUCCAAAGCUUCACCUCUCUGCCCAAUUGCUUACACCAGAUUGCAGAACUCUUCAUCACUGAAAAGAAUUAUGGAAAAGCUCUCCAGUUCAUCCAGGCUGAAAAAAUGUUCUAUGAGGUGGCAUUGAUUGAACUCACGGCUCUCCAGGGGAGAACAGGGCCCCAGGAGGAGGCUUCCCUGGGCUGUGGAGGAUGGAACACUGCAGAGGAGCUUUCAGAGCAGGCCUGCCAGGCACAGCACCUGGAACGGUUGGCUCAGCUCUGCAUCAUGAGCAAACAACCUCAUCUUGCUCUAGAAUACAGCGGUAAGGCAACAAAGAUUCACCAGAGGGCCUUUGGUAAUGACCAUCCGAUCACAGCCAGAAGCAUGGAGCUCAUGGCCACAGUCUAUGCUGAGAUUGGCAAGACUGAGUACUCAGACUCUCUUGGUCAGUGCGUGUCCGUGCUGUCCAAACGCAUCGUCGGUGCAGAGUCAAUUCGAGACACUGUCAACUGCUUUCCUCAUUCCCACUGGGAAAAACAAGAGGUUCGCCACAGAAAGGAUUCAAAGAACCAACCAGUGGACACACUUGUCUCCAAGGUAAGCAAUGGAAAAGUCCCCAUCUCCAUUCUAAAGAGGUCAAAUCCAAGCUUUGGUUCAGACGCAGAGCCUAACCACAGACGGAAAGGAGAGAGGAGGGUACGAUUCAGAGAACCGGAGACCACAGUACAUGAAAUCCCACACUGUGACUAUUUAGCUGCCUAUGAGACAACGCCCUCCCGCCCUCACCUCGCACUCUUCACCUGCCUCUUCUUGCUGAUGUCAUUCCUGGGCGUGGCCUUGUACUGCACAGACCGCAGACGCCCACAGCGAGUGUGUGAGGAGAUGGAGGCGGUCCUGGCUGUCUACCUGCUGCAUAUGAAACAGCUUCUGUGGGGCUGCUGGAUAUGGCUAACUAUGCAGUGACUGACCGACCACAAGGGGAGACAUGGAACAUCCCUGAUGUCUGUUAUUCCUCCUUGUCCUUAUAUUAAAGGUGACCAGGCCUUCAAACGCCUUAACCCUUUGGCAAGGCUUUGUGCGCUGUCUGUGGUGUCAAACCACACUCACAUCAUCAAAGGGAAGAAGUGCAAUCCCAGAAGUAUGUAGCUUCCAUGUUUGUAUGUAAAUACUGACUGAGGUGGUGGGCACACCAAUAAGAUAUUUAAGUUAAAAAAAAAAAAAAAAAGACUCUUUGCACAUGUGUGAUGUCGACGCUCACUUUAACGCUCAUGUAACCUCCACAUGUGACCUUUCACCUUUCACGUCAUGACACUCAGUUAGCUUUUUUGUGAAUGUUCCCAUGGAAUGCAAAUGGAUGUGUAUAUACUGUAAGUUUCAGAAUAUGAGGGACUAUCAUAGUAUUUAGCCUUUGACUUGCACAUAAAUUAAAGCAAAGAUGUGACACGCUUAGAUUGGAACCGUGCACGUUUGAAAUGAGUGGGAAGGUAAAAGCAUAGACUAUUGAGUAAUGACCCAUUAGAUUAAACACAUCAAAGCAGUGAGGGGAAUUUUAUUAGAGGACAGAAAAAAAAACAUCCUCAUUUUCAUGUUUUUUCUCACUGUUGCACAAAAUUGUCUCUCAUCAAAAAGAAAAUACUCGGCUCUUUAUAACUUAUUAUUAAAUACUGUCUAAUUAAUACAGUAUAUCUGUACAUGUGUAAAAUUACAUUUUUUUUGGAUUUAUCUUUUUUUUUCUUCAAAGCAUUAGGUUUUUAUUUUAUACUUAUGACUCUGUCAAUAUUUGUUUUGAAGAUGUAUAAAUGGGUUUAAAUCGAACAUUUUUUCUAGAGGAAAUCUAAUUUGUAACUUUUUUCAUGCCAAACAUCAAAAAGUAGCCAAGGAGUCUGACAUUGUCUGAUCUCCAACUAAACCAACCCUUUUAAAACCAUAAGAAUCUAUUUCCCCGACAUAGCACUUGUUACAAGCAAUAACGCAUCACAUGGUUUCCAUUUAAACAUUGUCCUUAUAUAUAUAUAUCAGGUUUCAGGGAGCUCGGAAUGAAGAGCAUUGGAUUUGGAAGCAGUGACGAUGAUGACAGGAGGAAAGUGAGUCCCAACCCUGUACUGUCCAACGAACCCUCACCAGCAAUAAAACCAUGAACUCAAUGAACUCCUGUAGCA
RNAcentral lists this long non-coding RNA (2536 nucleotides) under Gouania willdenowi (blunt-snouted clingfish). RNAcentral describes it as "lncRNA (ENSGWIG00000013628.1)". The record is from RNAcentral. Lineage: Eukaryota; Metazoa; Chordata; Actinopteri; Blenniiformes; Gobiesocidae.